CGCUCCGCGGCAUGUGGGAUCCUCCCAGACCGGGGCGCGAACCCGGUUCCCCUGCAUCGGCAGGCGGACGCGCAACCACUGCGCCACCAGGGAAGCCCUGCUCUUACUUUUUUUAAACCUGUUUUUCUAAACACAAUGAAACACUUUUGCUAGCAUGGACCAAAGAUGAGAUUUCUAAGGAAUCCUUUUCUUACCCACUGAAAUAUUCUUUUUUUCUGUUGAUAUACUGAUUCUUCUACCUAGAAUGCCUUUCUAAUUAGUAGGUGUUGGGCUUUGUCUCUAUAGAGAAGUAAAUAAAUGAAUCAUUAAUUUGACAGACUACAUCAGUUCUGUGACUGUCCUGCAGAAAUGUCAACCCUUCCAUGGAGAUGUGCACUUUCUUUUUGAGACUUUCUACUUACUGAGACAUGUUGAUUAACACUACUUUGUUAAUUGCUCCUCAGAAGCCUAUUAGAAGACAUUAAUAAGAGCUGAUAUUUGUAAAGCUUUAUAGUUCACAAAGUAAUUCCUACAUUUAAAAUUUUACUGAAUACCACAGCAGUCUUGAGGAGUAGGUCUUAUUAUUGCUAUCUCUAUUCAUCCAUAAGCAUGGACAAGAUAUUCCUCAAUAAAACCAUUUACGAAUUGGCUCAGCCCUCAAAAUUCUGUGCUGUGGUUUGUAGCAACCAUAAAUGAACCCUGCAUGUCAGGGUGAUCUAGCUGCCUGAUCCAUCCCCAUUUUGUAUUCUUUCUUACUCCUUUUCCUACUAGACUAAUUUCAAUAAGAUUUUCAUUCCAUUCAUGGUCUCUGAGUGUACCAUGUCACCUAUGCAGUCCUUAAUUUAAUUCCACCAGCCUCAGUGAGACAACUAAAACAAGACCUAGAGAGAAAGAAUUCAACUUAAGCCAGUGCUCCUUUUUUUUGAAUAAUAAAAUAUAUAUUAUUUGUAGUACCCAUUUAAAGGCAUCAGGCUGUAGUUCUCAUGCUUAAACCACGUGUUCAUCUCCUUGACAUAUAACCAGUCAGAGAUAGAUGAAGGAAGGGCUUUCGGAGAAAGAAUGCAAAGCGGGUAACAUACACCACAUCCCAAGGAUAGCCGUCAUCCCAAACCCGAUUCAUGACCCAGGAACCAUUUCUGGUGCUGAUAAUGACCUGGUGGGGGAGGCAACAUAGAUUUCAACAUCACUCUUUAAGUAUUGAGCAAAUACAACACAAGUCUAUGGACAUCUCCAUACAUUUCCCUUAAUAUCCAGGUAGGAGCACUUUUAAAGAGGUGGGUCAAAAUGAAUAGUCCAUGAUUGAAACUAGAUAGAGGCAGAACUACCGUCUCUCUCUCCACCCCAGAAGGUGAGUGCAUAGGUGUUGAAAGAACGACAAAGUGACAUCUUGGAAUAAGAGGGCUCUGUAUUCAACUGUGACAAGUUUACUCUUUGCAGACUUAUAGGACUAAGAUGGUACGUCUAAUAAAGGUCAGUCAAUCCAGUGAGCCCCAAUGGUGGUGGGUGGUAGUAGUUGCUGGGUUGAGUGGGGGAAAUGCAGCUAAAUCCCUAGCUGAAAUUAGGUUGAGGAGAUGCCAAGGAUUUAAUUCUGUUAUCUGUGCCUGGUCUCCUUCUCCAGUCCUCCCUGCACACCCACUCCAGGACCUGUGCUAGACAUUCCAAACUGUGGCAGCUGCCUCAGCCUGAGACAAGCCUGGCUGCUUGUCUAUUUUAUCAUUUUUGUGACAACCCAAGGGAAUUUGAGUUUAAAAAAUCCUGAGGUAUUUUUUAAACAUCCAUUUAAGAAUUUAUUUAUUGAACACCUAUUUCCUUAAAAAUAUUUUAAGUACUUCUGGGUUUACUGGUCAUGUAUGAUUCAUCGUGGAGUCCUCUGGGAAGCCUUCUUUGACAACUUCAUCCAGGCUAAGCUCGAUUCUCUAUUCACGGUGCUGCCACUGCCACGCCUAAUAUCACUGGUCUCAUUGCCUUCUUUUGUGAUGAUCUGUGUACCUGUCAUUCUACUUCCACCUAUCUAUUGCUCCUUGAAGUUAAGAAGUGGUCUGACUUAUUUCUGUGUUUAUUUCUAGUCUGACGCAGUGCUGACACAUAAAAAGUGCCUGAUAUUUGUUGAGCACUGGCUGUUAAAUGGGUAAACAACAGUAAGACCUAAAUCUUGUGUAUCUUCCAGAACUUCAGAGUGUAUUUCUGUGGAGAAAAUAAUUAUGUGCUCUUCUGGUCAUUGAGAAUUAUAUGGAAUGGCAUCAAAAUAGGAGUCACUGUGAAUCUUCACAUCUCACAAGGAAAAUUGCUGACUGGGGAUAAAAAUUCACAGAUGUGCUGCCUUGAAAGUACAUCUAAAAGCUGGCAGCCUCUCUUUCCCCAUAUUCUGAAGGAACUUUCAUGAAAUGAAGGAAAAGUAUGGAAUGUUACAUUGCUCCUGGAUUCAAGGCAUCUAUUUUCCUCCAGCCCAACAACCCCAAAUGAAAGGAUUGUGUCUCUGAUGGGCUGCCUCAGGCCUCAGUGUUUCCUCUUACAUGACAAAAGCGUCCUCUACUCAUGGUUGCUGUAUUUCUCAUAAUGGCAAAGCUCAGAGAUUUAAAAUUUUUUAAAACUUCACUUGGAAAUUUCUGCUAAGGUCAGAAAAAGGGUGAAGGCUCAUGCUUGGAAGGUUCUCAUGUUUGAGUCUGUACCGUUCACUCAUAGCUGGUAACUUUUGUUGAUGGUUGUGAGAAGGAGCUUUCUCAGCUGCCCACUGAAAAGGAGGGCUGAGCUGCGGGUUGCCGAAUGGUUAAAAAAAAUGUAAGAUUCUGCUCCAGGAAACAAAGGUGAUAAGACCUCGCAUUAUUUCCAUCGUUAAAGAAUCCCUGCUCUUUCGUCCCUGGACUCCAGCCAAUUGUAACAUGAGGAGAGAAGAGUACGUGACCUACAGCUCCUUGGAAUUUUCCCUAAAAGGAUGUUCUCCAAACAAAGGAAAACAGAAGUAUUAUAUAACAACAGACAAUUGCUCCAGAGAGCUCACAUUUUCAUUAUUUCAGUAAGUUGGUGGUUUGAGCCAGUACGGAGGAAAUUAAGCUCAGACUCUGCCUCUGGCUGACAGAGCUUGUCCUAGACCUAGAUGCCAAGCAGCUAUGGGGCACAUUAUCACUGUCUGUCUUGGGUUAUAACUGUCCAUCUCCCAUCAUCCCCACUAGAACAUAAGGCACUUGAGGGCUAAUUCAAGACUACUGUGCAUGCAUUUUAGCAGUCUGCCUUGAUGGUCUUUGAUAUUCCAUCUCUGCUUAUCAAGUCCCAUUUUUGCUUGUCUAGAUAUACCCUCAGUGUCCAGCUUAAAAGCUGUCUCCCUUCUUAUGCCUUUGCUUGUCUUCCCUCCCACCAAUUGGAAGUAAUAACACCAAGCUCUAAUUGUCUUUACUGCCCUAAUCAUACUCUGUCCUAUUCAAUUGUAUUAUGAUUAUUCUAAUACUUCUUUUCUCUCUGCUUUUAGAAUACUGUCUGCCUGCUGUACUUCUUAUAUGCAGCUAUGCCUAACA
Long non-coding RNA from Physeter macrocephalus (sperm whale), 3488 nucleotides. RefSeq lists it as uncharacterized. NCBI's taxonomy places the organism in Eukaryota, Metazoa, Chordata, Mammalia, Artiodactyla, Physeteridae. The record is from RefSeq and is a predicted model, not a curated record. The transcript is spliced from 3 exons.